This is a non-coding RNA of Cinara cedri, 579 nucleotides long. NCBI's taxonomy places the organism in Eukaryota, Metazoa, Arthropoda, Insecta, Hemiptera, Aphididae. The record is from the annotation of a GenBank genome assembly.
CGUAAUUUCAUCAGUAAGACAGUAAGCACAACAAGUUUGUUUAUUUGUGUGAGUGUAUGUGUGUGUGUUACAAUAAACACAAAACGCAAAUGGGCCCAUUUGGGCCGUCGAGUGAAUAAAGCAACACACAUGCGAAAUAGUAGAGCAGAAAGAACACACGGCAAAUCCAACAAGAUAACGAAAAUGUAGAUGCGAGUAUGUCGCCAUUGCGUGUAUCUCAAUCACAAGAGGCACGAGCUGAACGUAAUGAACAACGAUUGGAGCAAAGACGAGCGCGCCGUGUCUUAGUGAACAUACGCAAAGCAAAUGAAAGACAACGCCGGCGUCGAGCAUUUACGUCCGAUUAGUUUCUUUGUCUGGCAUUCAAGUAUGAGCCAGAUAUUGAAUAUUACGCUCAUUCGAAAGUGACGAUUGGUGUUACGGACAAGGAAUGUCAUGCGCUUAAAUUCGAAAAUGAGCCAGUCUGGAUGUGAGGCGCGUCGGGAAAAUUGUAACUAUCAGUAAUAGAAAAACCACUAGAACCGUUGAAUCAUCAGCCUGCUCAUCGGCACGGAUGUUAGAACAGAAAACUAAUAGUCC